This 1108-nucleotide long non-coding RNA is filed under the name Homo sapiens (human). Its description in RNAcentral is "HSALNT0006447". The record is from RNAcentral. Lineage: Eukaryota; Metazoa; Chordata; Mammalia; Primates; Hominidae.
UGGGAUUACACGCGUGAGCCACCACGCCCGGCCAGAGAAACAUUUUACUAAGAGAGAUAACCUGGGGGAGAUGCUGCCAACCCUCCUGGUGACCCAGCAGGCCCAGGAAAUGCCCAGCACUUUAAUCAUCAAGCGUCCAAACCUCAGAGGCAUUCACUCCCAUCCUCAGCAUCCCAGGAUCCAACUCGUCCCCAACUCUGGGGAUCACCUGGGAACAGCAACAACAGAGGCCUUUGCAGAUAACAAAGCCUUUCAAAGACUCUACUCCCAGUGGCUUGACUGACAGAAACAAACAACCGACUGACCUAUAGACAAAGGCUAUAUCUACACAAGCAGCUCAAUUUUGGAGGAAAGGGAAUGAGUCUGCUGGUGUGAACACAACCGCCUGCCAGGAAAAGAACCUACUGAGUGCCGAGCACAUUGGCCCAGGCCUCCAUCAUCUAAUUUGUUCCCUGGGUCAAUGCCUACUGGACAAAGAAGCCAAUGAACUAAACUCAACACGAGACCAGAAUCUUGGUGUAGGCAUUCUGUCACUGGCUUUCUACAUGACCUUAAGAGAAGACUUCUUUCCCUGAGCCCCUAUAAAAUGAGGCUUUGGCCUCUGCACCCUCCUAGAACUGAAUGAUAUUGAUUUCAAGGGCUCUGGUCCAGCACGAUUCUGCUCUUAUCAACUCCAGAUUCUUGGUAAAACACUCACUAAUGACCAGAUACGAUCACAGAAGGUGUUUCCACUCACCCCCCCUUGCCUUAUUCCAGUUUGCCCACACCUUGUGCCUUUUGGUAAGAGAAAACAAAGAGGCCUGACGCUGGGAUACGCUUAGAGAAGAUUCGCAGGACAUCUUGGAUCUGCCAGAGGGCGGACCUCUUGGCUGGAAGCCCCAGCCCUUGAGCCAAGCAAUUGUCCCCUUAAUUAAAGACAUACCCCGGACUAUGGAGAGAGCCAGUGGGGACUGACUCAUUUACACUUGGACCAUGAGCCAGGCUGUGCUAAGGAGUCUGCUCUGUGGCUCAGAGGAGGAGGUGGACCUUUUUAUGGAAAUGACUUGAGAUUUUCCUCUUUCAGGAAAAACAAUCUUUUUUUUUUCUUGGAGUAAAUAAAAUAUCUCAG